Molecule: long non-coding RNA, 883 nt
Organism: Colossoma macropomum (tambaqui)
Lineage: Eukaryota; Metazoa; Chordata; Actinopteri; Characiformes; Serrasalmidae
Exons: 3
Source: RefSeq, a predicted model, not a curated record
GUGUUUGGCUACUUGGUGUGAACUAUGAUGAACACAUUUAUCCCGAAUCUGAACCUUUUUUGCUGAGACAAUUUACGGAUCUGACUACUGAGUUCAACAGGAGCUAGUAAAGUUAGCUACUUUUCUAUUGCAGAAACUGCAAACUUAAGUCUGUUAUUAAUCUUGUGCAGGUGAGCGUCCCCACAAAACCAGGAGAAAUCUGGCAGCUCUGAAGAUGCUGAAUGUGUUCAGUGGCGUUCCCCAUAAUUGACAAGGUCUGCUGCACAGAGGGAUCGGGCUGCUUGGAGAGGCUGAAAGUGUUCGAUGGAAUUCCACCUAAUUGACGAGCUUGCCUUGCUGGGUUGUCUGGGGCCCAUAAGCCUGGCUGGAAGUUCCAGGAGGGCAGCCACCUGGAGGAGCUAUAGGAAGAAGGAGAGCAACUCUUGUGGCUUAUUCAAAGCUGUGGAAACGGUCUCAUUUUUGACUGCAUUGAUUAAAAUGAAAUUGAGAUCUUACCCCAAAUUUCUCAGAGCUUGUGGAAAAGUUUGCAGAAAUGCACAGAUUUCAUGUAAUCCCAUGUAAAACAAGAGGAUUAUGCACAAUCCUAUCUGACCUGCAAAAUAAUUUAAAUAUGCUAAUGUUAGGGACCACAUUACUCCCAUUUUGGCAUCCUUACACUGGCUUCCUGUAUACUACAGAAUCCAAUUUCAAUUGCUUGAACUCUAUACUGGCUCCAGGCAUCAAAUCAGCUGCUACUGACUGUCAGUUUCAGCUGAAACUCAAGGGUGAUCGGGCCUUUGCUGUUGCUGCACUGAUACUAUUGAACAGUCUACCCCUGGACAUUAGGUCUGCACCCUCUAUUGAUGCUUUUAAGUCUAGAUUAAAAACCUAUUUUUAUCGAUCA